Oryza glaberrima (African rice) is the source of this 204-nucleotide non-coding RNA. The record is from Rfam. Lineage: Eukaryota; Viridiplantae; Streptophyta; Magnoliopsida; Poales; Poaceae.
AAUAAACGCAGCCAUGAGUUUCCGCGUACAACUUUCAUCGUCCAUCUUAUUUAAAAACUUUUUUAUGAUUAGUAUUUUUAUUGAUAUUAGAUUAUAAAACAUGAAUAGUACUUUAUGCGUACUUAUGCUUUUUUAGUUUUUUCAAAAAAAAUAAAUAAGACGAACAAUCAAAGUUGGACACGAAAACUUAUGGCUGAGUUUAUU